CCUACGGGAGGCUGCAGUGGGGAAUAUUGCACAAUGGGGGAAACCCUGAUGCAGCGACGCCGCGUGAGUGAAGAAGUAUUUCGGUACGUAAAGCUCUAUCAGCAGGGAAGAAAAUGACGGUACCUGACUAAGAAGCCCCGGCUAACUACGUGCCAGCAGCCGCGGUAAUACGUAGGGGGCAAGCGUUAUCCGGAUUUACUGGGUGUAAAGGGAGCGUAGACGGCAGCGCAAGUCUGGAGUGAAAUCCCAUGGCUUAACCAAUGAACUGCUUUGGAAACUGUGCAGCUAGAGUGCAGGAGAGGUAAGCGGAAUUCCUAGUGUAGCGGUGAAAUGCGUAGAUAUUAGGAGGAACACCAGUGGCGAAGGCGGCUUACUGGACUGUAACUGACGUUGAGGCUCGAAAGCGUGGGGAGCAAACAGGAUUAGAUACCCCUGUAGUC
This 440-nucleotide ribosomal RNA is filed under the name uncultured bacterium. RNAcentral's name for it is "partial 16S ribosomal RNA". It matches the Rfam family "Bacterial small subunit ribosomal RNA", at positions 338 to 795 of the family's 1533-position model. The record is from RNAcentral.